This 1470-nucleotide ribosomal RNA is filed under the name Lactococcus lactis. RNAcentral describes it as "bacterial SSU rRNA". It matches the Rfam family "Bacterial small subunit ribosomal RNA". The record is from RNAcentral. Lineage: Bacteria; Bacillati; Bacillota; Bacilli; Lactobacillales; Streptococcaceae.
GGAAUGGCGGGGAGCUAUAAUGCAGUUGAGCGCUGAAGGUUGGUACUUGUACCAACUGGAUGAGCAGCGAACGGGUGAGUAACGCGUGGGGAAUCUGCCUUUGAGCGGGGGACAACAUUUGGAAACGAAUGCUAAUACCGCAUAAAAACUUUAAACACAAGUUUUAAGUUUGAAAGAUGCAAUUGCAUCACUCAAAGAUGAUCCCGCGUUGUAUUAGCUAGUUGGUGACGUAAACGGCUCACGCAAGCCGAUGCAUACAUAGCCGACCUGAGAGGGUGAUCAGCCACACUCGGACUCGAGACACCGCUCCAAACUCCUACCGGGAGGCAGCAGUAGGGAAUCUUCGGCAAAUGGAAGGAAAGUCUGACCGAGCAACGCCUGCGUGAGUGAAGAACGUUUUUCCGGAUCGUAAAACUCUGUUGGUAGAGAAGAACGGUUGGUGAGAGUGGAAAGCUCCAUCAAGUGACGGUAACUACCCAGAAAGGGACGGCUAACUACGUGCCAGCAGCCGCGGUAAUACGUAGGUCCCGAGCGUUGUCCGGAUUUAUUGGGCGUAAAGCGAGCGCAGGUGGUUUAUUAAGUCUGGUGUAAAAGGCAGUGGCUCAACCCAUCGUAUGCAUUGGAAACUGGUAGACUUGAGUGCAGGAGAGGAGAGUGGAAUUCCAUGUGUAGCGGUGAAAUGCGUAGAUAUAUGGAGGAACACCGGUGGCGAAAGCGGCUCUCUGGCCUGUAACUGACACUGAGGCUCGAAAGCGUGGGGAGCAAACAGGAUUAGAUACCCUGGUAGUCCACGCCGUAAACGAUGAGUGCUAGAUGUAGGGAGCUAUAAGUUCUCUGUAUCGCAGCUAACGCAAUAAGCACUCCGCCUGGGGAGUACGACCGCAAGGUUGAAACUCAAAGGAAUUGACAGGGGCCCGCACAAGCGGUGGAGCAUGUGGUUUAAUUCGAAGCAACGCGAAGAACCUUACCAGGUCUUGACAUACUCGUGCUAUUCCUAGAGAUAGGAAGUUCCUUCGGGACACGGGAUACAGGUGGUGCAUGGUUGUCGUCAGCUCGUGUCGUGAGAUGUUGGGUUAAGUCCCGCAACAAGCGCAACCCCUAUUGUUAGUUGCCAUCAUUAAGUUGGGCACUCUAACGAGACUGCCGGUGAUAAACCGGAGGAAGGUGGGGAUGACGUCAAAUCAUCAUGCCCCUUAUGACCUCGGCCUACACACGUGCCUACAAUGCAUGGUACAACGAGUCGCGAGACAGUGAUGCAUAAGCUAAUCUCUGUAAACACCAUUCUCAGUAUCGUGCAGGGUAGGCUGCAACUCGCCUACAUGAAGUCGGAAUCGCUAGUAAUCGCGGAUCAGCACGCCGCGGUGAAUACGUUCCCGGGCCUUGUACACACCGCCCGUCACACCACGGGAGUUGGGAGUACCCGAAGUAGGUUGCCUAACCGCAAGGAGGGCGCUCCUAAGUAGACCCGUC